AUACGGAGGGUGCAAGCGUUAAUCGGAAUUACUGGGCGUAAAGCGCGCGUAGGCGGUUUGAUAAGUCGGAUGUGAAAUCCCCGGGCUCAACCUGGGAAUUGCAUUCGAUACUGUCAGGCUAGAGUGUGGUAGAGGGAAGUGGAAUUUCCGGUGUAGCGGUGAAAUGCGUAGAUAUCGGAAGGAACACCAGUGGCGAAGGCGGCUUCCUGGACCAGCACUGACGCUGAGGUGCGAAAGCGUGGGGAGCAAACAGGAUUAGAAACCCUAGUAGUCC
This 274-nucleotide ribosomal RNA is filed under the name uncultured bacterium. RNAcentral's name for it is "partial 16S ribosomal RNA". It matches the Rfam family "Bacterial small subunit ribosomal RNA", at positions 523 to 796 of the family's 1533-position model. The record is from RNAcentral.